Molecule: long non-coding RNA, 1822 nt
Organism: Anolis carolinensis (green anole)
Lineage: Eukaryota; Metazoa; Chordata; Lepidosauria; Squamata; Anolidae
Exons: 2
Source: RefSeq, a predicted model, not a curated record
CUCCCUCUGAUGUCACAAUGUCUCCCCAGGCGAUUGGUCUCCUCCAGCUUCCUCUGGCCUCAUUCUGCCCUCGUCCUCCGCUCACCGCUGCCCUGCCUUGCCUGCCCUUAGCCUCUGUCCUUGCCUCUCAUUGCGAUUCUGGACCCAACCAAUCAAAUCACCAGAAAAACCAACACUCUUUAAUUGGAAUUUCCCAGAAGACAUCACAGCCCUGUUUCAACACUGUGUCACCACAAGCUGCUUCCCGUGGGACAAUUAAUUAUUCGAACAGAAAGAUGGAGUAGCCACACAGAGCCCUCUUAACCGUGUUAUUGAAAGUUUUACAUGGAAAACUUUGAGAAAAAAAGCCCUUGAAACAGCACCAACCCCCCCCCCCCCCCGUAUCGUUCCGACAUGUUGAUGACACCUUCACCAUUUGGAGCCACGGAGAAGAAAAACUGAACAAGUUCCUGGACCACAGCAACAACUUCGAAACAAACAUCCGAUUUAAUUUGAUAACACAGAAAUUCUAGAUCACUCUGAUAGCCGUUAUGUCAGACUACACAGAGAAGCCAUUAAAAUCCACAAGCACAUGGGCAAUUUCAACAGAAAGAGGAAACCAUGAAAAUGAACAAAAUCUGGAUGCCAUUUUUAAAAAAACACCAGAAACAAGACAGUAAACAAAGAACACCCCUCAGAAAACAGAGAACUCCAGACAGCAAACUAUCAAGUGCCAGUUAACACCUCCCAAACAGAGGAUGCCUCCAGGCAACAAAAACCAGGCUACCUCUAUACAGAUACUCUCACUGAUUGACUUUACAGGUUCAUGGCCACACAAUGCUAUUCAAGCUUGCUAAUUUGCAACAUUAACACUUUUAAGAGACAAGGUUUUUUUCUCCCACCCUGGACAUUCCACAGAUAUAUACACUCCACUUGCAUCAUUACCAACAGAACCUCUGAAGAAGCCUGCCACAGAUGCAGGAGAAACAUCAGGAAAGAAUGCUACUGGAAAAAAAUGCAGCCUGAAAAACUCACAUCAACCCAGUAAUUCUGGCCAUGAAAGCCUUCUACAACACAUUAAACUUCGAGUGCCUUCUUGGAUACCAGCUCAUCUGUCUGUGCAAGAAAAAGCGGCCGUAGCCCUCUUGCAAGGAGUAGGCAACAUGACCUCCCGAUCCUUGUGCAAGCAACACUUUUUGUCACAGGAACCAUGGUUGCUGGAUAUUGUAUGGAUGCUACAAGGGCAAGCAGUUGGAUAAUAUCAGGCCAAAGAUUGUAUUUCUCGAUUCUUUGGAAUCAGGCUAGUUUUGUUUUAAGGGGGUUUAUGCAAAUCCUCAUCUGACCAUAUAGGGCGGAUGGCAAAUGGGCCUGAAGUGGACCACUGUGUACACGGGUGGAGUAGAGUGGGCACUCGCGGAAGACUGUUGUUAUCUCGAGGAGGCAAGCGAGGUGGGGUGCUCAGUCGUUCCAUUUUUCUCUACCCAUUCCCCCUUCAAAAGAAACCCUAAAGGAACAAAAUCUUUUAAAGAGGGAAAAUGUCACUUUUUUCCUUUCUUAUGCCUACUUCAUUGUUAAGAACAAAUUGGAAUGGAAUGAGAGGGAGUCCAGAUGGCUGAUGUAAAACCGAUGUGAUCCAUUAGCUUCUUGGAUCGGAGCCUAAUGCUGAACCUUGAUCCAGGCUGAGACCAGGAGAAUGCGGCAUGUUGGUGGCCAGCCUGGGGUCGUCCUCGUUGCCGUUCAAGGGGUUCCCAGCAAUGGAUUGAGGAGAACCUGCUUGGCUCUUCAUUCUUCUGUUUUUGUCACCAUGUCUCUUUCUCAAAUAAAUGUAUUUCUUGAAUUGUUA